RNAcentral lists this transfer RNA (85 nucleotides) under Verrucomicrobiales bacterium. RNAcentral describes it as "tRNA-Leu". It matches the Rfam family "tRNA". From Rfam's summary of the family: Transfer RNA (tRNA) molecules are approximately 80 nucleotides in length. Their secondary structure includes four short double-helical elements and three loops (D, anti-codon, and T loops). Further hydrogen bonds mediate the characteristic L-shaped molecular structure. tRNAs have two regions of fundamental functional importance: the anti-codon, which is responsible for specific mRNA codon recognition, and the 3' end, to which the tRNAs corresponding amino acid is attached (by aminoacyl-tRNA synthetases). tRNAs cope with the degeneracy of the genetic code in two manners: having more than one tRNA (with a specific anti-codon) for a particular amino acid; and 'wobble' base-pairing, i.e. permitting non-standard base-pairing at the 3rd anti-codon position. The record is from RNAcentral. Lineage: Bacteria; Pseudomonadati; Verrucomicrobiota; Verrucomicrobiia; Verrucomicrobiales.
GCCCGAGUGGUGAAAUGGCAGACACACAGGACUUAAAAUCCUGAGUUGGGAAACCAACGUACCGGUUCGAGUCCGGUCUCGGGCA